RNAcentral lists this ribosomal RNA (253 nucleotides) under uncultured bacterium. Its description in RNAcentral is "partial 16S ribosomal RNA". It matches the Rfam family "Bacterial small subunit ribosomal RNA", at positions 524 to 776 of the family's 1533-position model. The record is from RNAcentral.
UACAGAGGUCCCGAGCGUUGUUCGGAUUCACUGGGCGUAAAGGGUGCGUAGGUGGUGAGGUAAGUCGGAUGUGAAAUCUCCAGGCUCAACCUGGAAACUGCAUUGGAAACUACCUUGCUGGAGGAUUUGAGGGGGGAUUGGAAUACUUGGUGUAGCAGUGAAAUGCGUAGAUAUCAAGUGGAACACCAGUGGCGAAGGCGGCAUCCUGGACCGGCAUUGACGCUGAGGCGCGAAAGCUAGGGGAGCAAACGGG